This 253-nucleotide ribosomal RNA is filed under the name uncultured bacterium. RNAcentral's name for it is "partial 16S ribosomal RNA". It matches the Rfam family "Bacterial small subunit ribosomal RNA", at positions 524 to 776 of the family's 1533-position model. The record is from RNAcentral.
UACGGAGGGUCCAAGCGUUAUCCGGAAUCAUUGGGUUUAAAGGGUCCGUAGGCGGUUUAGUAAGUCAGUGGUGAAAGCCCAUCGCUCAACGGUGGAACGGCCAUUGAUACUGCUAGACUUGAAUUAUUAGGAAGUAACUAGAAUAUGUAGUGUAGCGGUGAAAUGCUUAGAUAUUACAUGGAAUACCAAUUGCGAAGGCAGGUUACUGCUAAUUGAUUGACGCUGAUGGACGAAAGCGUGGGUAGCGAACAGG